RNAcentral lists this ribosomal RNA (468 nucleotides) under uncultured bacterium. RNAcentral describes it as "partial 16S ribosomal RNA". It matches the Rfam family "Bacterial small subunit ribosomal RNA", at positions 28 to 507 of the family's 1533-position model. The record is from RNAcentral.
GACGAACGCUGGCGGCGGGCUUAACACAUGCAAGUCGAACGGAAAGGCCCUUCUUUUGUUGGGUGCUCGAGUGGCGAACGGAUGAGUAACAAGUGAGUAACCUGCCCUUGACUUUGUGAUAACUUCAGGAAACUGGGGCUAAUACCGGAUAGGAGCUCCUGCUGCAUGGUGGGGGUUGGUAAGUUUCGGCGGUUGGGGAUGGACUCGCGGCUUAUCAGCUUGUUGGUGGGGUAGUGGCUUACCAAGGCUUUGACGGGUAGCCGGACUGAGAGGGUGACCGGCCACAUUGGGACUGAGAUACGGCACAGAGUCCUACGGGAGGCAGGAGUGGGGAAUAUUGCACAAUGGGCGGAAGCCUGAUGCAGCAACGCCGCGUGCGGGAUGACGGCCUUCGGGUUGUAAACCGCUUUCGCCUGUGACGAAGCGUGAGUGACGGUAAUGGGUAAAGAAGCACCGGCUAACUACGUG